This 301-nucleotide ribosomal RNA is filed under the name uncultured bacterium. RNAcentral describes it as "partial 16S ribosomal RNA". It matches the Rfam family "Bacterial small subunit ribosomal RNA", at positions 509 to 807 of the family's 1533-position model. The record is from RNAcentral.
CAGUAGCCACGGGAAUACGGAGGGUGCAAGCGUUAUCCGGAUUUAUUGGGUUUAAAGGGUCCGUAGGCGGAUCUGUAAGUCAGUGGUGAAAUCUCACAGCUUAACUGUGAAACUGCCAUUGAUACUGCAGGUCUUGAGUAAAUUUGAAGUGGCUGGAAUAAGUAGUGUAGCGGUGAAAUGCAUAGAUAUUACUUAGAACACCAAUUGCGAAGGCAGGUCACUAAGAUUUAACUGACGCUGAUGGACGAAAGCGUGGGGAGCGAACAGGAUUAGAUACCCCGGUAGUCCCUGUCUCUUAUAC